CUUAUUAUCUUAAGUCCAUCUUUGUUUCCAAUCACACUACAGCCACGGUUUCGCCUAGAGCUUUUGUUUAUCUUCCUCAAUGUUAAUACAAGCAGACUCCCAAGAAGAUUUUGACAACCAGUGAAGACCCAGCCACCUGCUAUUCAUAUUUUAAAGGGUAAAUCUCAAUUUCCAAUCUCUUCAGCGUAUAGGAUGAUAUUGUGUAGUACCACGUUUUGGAGGCAACUUCCUCAGGAUGAAAAGCACCAACGAAGAAGGUUUUUUCUUGUCAGCUGAAAAAAGGAAGCAUGGGCUACAUGGUGUGUCAAGAAAAGCAACCUACUGAAAAGAGGCUUCUGAAUUUCAGUAUUGGGAAGGGAAGAAAACAUGUAAAUGAUCAAGGAUCGGAUACACAACUCCUUCAGGGAAAUGAAGCAACUAGCUGCAUGGAAGUUUUUUAGCCUUGGCAUAAUGCUCAAGCACCUGAUUCUUUAGAAUCCCAUCUGAAAUUGCAUAAUCCAUCAAAGGGAACGGUCAUUCAAUGUAGGGUAGAGAAGUAUGUCAUUUGACAGAAAGUACGUCAUUUGAUUUCAUUAUUAAUAGAUUUUUUCCAGCACUUAUUUGACACAAAGUAUGUCAUUUGAUUUUAAAAGUAUAUUUGUAGUUGAUAAAAAAUAUUUUGUAAGAAGUUUGACUGUUCAAUUAUCAAUUAUAAAAGGAUAAUCAGCCAAUACCCUUUUACCUCUAUUUUCCCUUUUUUAACUAUAAAUAGCCAUGUUGUUUAUGUAUAAGUUAAUAUUGACACAAAAUUACCUAUGAACCCAAAUACUAUUCUUGCCCUUGCCUAUAAACUUAAGCUUUUAAGUAUCCAUUCAGUUGGACUUAUCUACCAAUUAAAACAGCUCUUUUUUGUGUGAAAAAGCAAUGUUCAAGGUUUGUGUUGUUAGUUACCACUCAAAAAGAGCACAUAGGUAAGUUAAGUACUCUGUUUUAUACCUACAAGUAGAAGCUCAAAAUUCUUACUUAGAUUUUAAAAUGUCAAAAGUAACCCCAUAUUAUUUUAAUCAUUUCCUUUAUCAUUCCCAAUAUAUCAAAACUCUUUUUGGUAACUUAAACUAGAUAACUCUUUUACAUUAAUCUAACCAAACAACUAACUUUUUCAUAUAAGCUCUAUUUGGAGUAGAUUCACUUCAAUAAGCUCUACUUUAAAAGUGCAACUUGAACAUGCUUGACCAAAUCCAAAAUAUCACCUAACAUAAUAUUAGAGCAAGGUUAAUCAAUAAGUCUUAUAUUUAAAACCUAAACUAUUAAUAAUAAGUAAAUAGCUUGUUAGGGUCAUAGUUGACUAAAGGUUAUGAUGAAUUAUGUGCUAAACACAAAUAAGAGAAUGUGCUGAUCCCUUACUUUAUAAGCUUAAGCAUUUGAUCAAGUUAUUACUUAGCAAUUAGUAUCCAUCAUAUUUUAACUGCUGUAGGAAUGCAUCCUUUCCUAUUUGAACACAUGAAGAACCAUUCUAUUUAUUGCUAUUUGCAUCUUGUUUGCAUAGGUGGACUUAUUAAAAUAUGAGUGACUGGAAGGUAAUUUGUGCACUAGAAGCAUGGAGCAAUAAACAGGACACGAAUUUUUUUUACA
This is a long non-coding RNA of Mangifera indica (mango), 1611 nucleotides long. RefSeq lists it as uncharacterized. NCBI's taxonomy places the organism in Eukaryota, Viridiplantae, Streptophyta, Magnoliopsida, Sapindales, Anacardiaceae. The record is from RefSeq and is a predicted model, not a curated record. The transcript is spliced from 4 exons.